AACAGAGAGAUUACACAAAAACCAAAACAGGAAGAAUCUCGAAGCAAUAAGGUACCGACCCUUACACCCAAUCAAAUGCAUUGUUUUAUUCCCCGUCUCAAAAGGUCUUCAAUGUUCAUAAUUGACGGUUUCACAAAAAACGAAGGAGCAUCCAACAGAUAGACCAAACGUCUGAAAAAAACUCCUUACCCCCAUUCAAUUUCCUUCCCCUCCUCUUUCAAUCCGUUUCUCUUGGCCUCCCCUCACCCUUCUGGUAUCAACAGUAAAAAAAAACGUUCCCUUCUAGGUGACAUGCUAAAGCUUCAGCAACGAAGGCAAUUGCUACUCUCUCAUGGAAACUCAAACAAGUGAAGAGUAUUAUUCCACCCUCAUCCCUAGCAACCACUCCUGACGCCGAUCAAAAACUCCGGCCAUCAAAAGCACCAUCAAAGUUUAUUUUGAUGACUGAACUCGUCGGAGUUAUCCAACCCAAAGUGCACAGUAAAGUAACUUCCUCAGAUGGGUGGUACAAGAUUCAAAUAUCCAAGACAUUGUUGGAAUAGAUGAUCUAUUGAUUCGUCCUCACCUCUACACCGAUGGCAGCAAGUAUUUGCGAUUAACUUCUUAGAAUUUAAGUUAGCAAACGUAGGUAGAUAGUUCCAAGAAAUCCUCCAGAAUGUAAUUUUAAUUUUUCCCGGGAGGUCUAGUUUCCAUAAGAGCUUAUAGAAAUCACUAGAUCAUGUCUGUAAUGCAGAAGUACUAGGAUCCUCCAAAUUUUAUGUAAUAGUUUGUAGGUGCUAUGAAUCGAGAACCCCCCGAAGGCUCCCCACCCCA
Long non-coding RNA from Gossypium raimondii (Peruvian cotton), 813 nucleotides. RefSeq lists it as uncharacterized. The transcript is spliced from 4 exons. The record is from RefSeq and is a predicted model, not a curated record. Lineage: Eukaryota; Viridiplantae; Streptophyta; Magnoliopsida; Malvales; Malvaceae.